Molecule: ribosomal RNA, 467 nt
Filed under: uncultured bacterium
Lineage: Bacteria
Description: partial 16S ribosomal RNA
Rfam family: Bacterial small subunit ribosomal RNA
Source: RNAcentral
GACGAACGCUGGCGGCGUGCUUAACACAUGCAAGUCGAACGGAAAGGCCCUGCUUUUGUGGGGUGCUCGAGUGGCGAACGGGUGAGUAACACGUGAGUAACCUGCCCUUGACUUUGGGAUAACUUCAGGAAACUGGGGCUAAUACCGGAUAGGAGCUCCUGCUGCAUGGUGGGGGUUGGAAAGUUUCGGCGGUUGGGGAUGGACUCGCGGCUUAUCAGCUUGUUGGUGGGGUAGUGGCUUACCAAGGCUUUGACGGGUAGCCGGCCUGAGAGGGUGACCGGCCCCAUUGGGACUGGGGUACGGCCCAGACUCCUACGGGGGGCAGCAGUGGGGAAUAUUGCCCAAUGGGCGGAAGCCUGAUGCAGCAACGCCGCGUGCGGGAUGACGGCCUUCGGGUUGUAAACCGCUUUCGCCUGUGACGAAGCGUGAGUGACGGUAAUGGGUAAAGAAGCACCGGCUACCUACGU